This 413-nucleotide ribosomal RNA is filed under the name uncultured microorganism. Its description in RNAcentral is "bacterial SSU rRNA". It matches the Rfam family "Archaeal small subunit ribosomal RNA", at positions 330 to 745 of the family's 1478-position model. The record is from RNAcentral.
GCGCACCAGUCGCGAAACCUCCGCAAUACACGAAAGUGUGACGGGGCCAUCCCGAGUGCCGUCCGCUGAGGACGGCUUUUCCCCAGUGUACACAGCUGGGGGAAUAAGGAGAGGGCAAGCCUGGUGUCAGCCGCCGCGGUAAUACCAGCUCUCCGAGUGGUGGGGACGCUUAUUGGGCCUAAAGCAUCCGUAGCCGGCUGGGCAAGUCCUCCGUUAAAUCCAACGAUUCAAUCGUUGGGCUGCGGGGGAUACUGUCCAGCUUGGGGGCGGGAGAGGCCGACGGUAUUCCCGGGGUAGGGGUGAAACCCUAUAAUCCCGGGAGGACCACCAGUGGCGAAGGCUGUCGGCUAGAACGCGCCCGACGGUGAGGGAUGAAAGCUGGGGGAGCGAACCGGAUUAGAUACCCGUGUAGU